Molecule: ribosomal RNA, 435 nt
Filed under: uncultured bacterium
Lineage: Bacteria
Description: partial 16S ribosomal RNA
Rfam family: Bacterial small subunit ribosomal RNA
Source: RNAcentral
GAUGAACGCUGGUGGUAUGCUUAACACAUGCAAGUCGAACGGACUCUUCGGAGUUAGUGGCGGACGGGUGAGUAACGCGUGAGAAUCUGGCUUUGGGUUCGGGACAACCACUGGAAACGGUGGCUAAUACCGGAUGUGCCGAGAGGUAAAAGAGAAAUUGCCUGAAGAUGAGCUCGCGUCUGAUUAGCUAGUUGGUGAGGUAAAGGCUCACCAAGGCAGCGAUCAGUAGCUGGUCUGAGAGGAUGACCAGCCACACUGGGACUGAGACACGGCCCAGACUCCUACGGGAGGCAGCAGUGGGGAAUUUUCCGCAAUGGGCGAAAGCCUGACGGAGCAAUACCGCGUGAGGGAAGAAGGCUCUUGGGUUGUAAACCCCUUUUCUUAGGGAAGAACAAAAUGACGGUACCUAAGGAAUCAGCAUCGGCUAACUCCGUG